RNAcentral lists this ribosomal RNA (433 nucleotides) under uncultured bacterium. RNAcentral's name for it is "partial 16S ribosomal RNA". It matches the Rfam family "Bacterial small subunit ribosomal RNA", at positions 29 to 507 of the family's 1533-position model. The record is from RNAcentral.
AACGAACGCUGGCGGCAUGCCUAACACAUGCAAGUCGAACGAGGCCUUCGGGUCUAGUGGCGCACGGGUGAGUAACGCGUGGGAACCUGCCCUUAGGUUCGGAAUAACUCCCCGAAAGGGGUGCUAAUACCGGAUAAUGUCUUCGGACCAAAGAUUUAUCGCCUUUGGAUGGGCCCGCGUUGGAUUAGCUAGUUGGUAGGGUAAAAGCCUACCAAGGCGACGAUCCAUAGCUGGUCUGAGAGGAUGAUCAGCCACACUGGGACUGAGACACGGCCCAGACUCCUACGGGAGGCAGCAGUGGGGAAUAUUGGACAAUGGGCGAAAGCCUGAUCCAGCAAUGCCGCGUGAGUGAUGAAGGCCUUAGGGUUGUAAAGCUCUUUUACCCGGGAUGAUAAUGACAGUACCGGGAGAAUAAGCUCCGGCUAACUCCGUG